This 15551-nucleotide long non-coding RNA is filed under the name Triticum aestivum (bread wheat). Its description in RNAcentral is "long non-coding RNA (TAES_LNC002201)". The record is from RNAcentral. Lineage: Eukaryota; Viridiplantae; Streptophyta; Magnoliopsida; Poales; Poaceae.
GAGUGCAUACAUGGGUAUGACGUGCUCUGCACAUUUAGGAUUGAAGUAUUGUGUUGCAGCACUCAGUGACGUUAAUUUAGGGCAUUUCAGUGUCAGUUUCACUAUAUUUCGGGGGACAUUUAACAGUGCAAUUUCAUGGUUAUUACAGUGUAAUUUCAAGGUUCUUGCACUGUAAGUUCAGAGAAUUACAAUGUUAGUUUAUGUGAAUUCCCGUGCAUUUUACUGUGUAAUUUAAGUGCAAUGGAAAUUAUAGUGCAAAUUCAGUGUAAUUUACUAUGUAAAUUUACGGAAAUUACACUGUAAUUCGUGUGCAACUUUUAGUGUAAUUUACACUGUAAUUUCAACGGGUUUACAGUAGAGUAAUUUAAGUGUAAUUACAGUGUGCACUUUAGAGCAAUCAUACUAUAUAUUUAGUGAAUUUAAAGUAUCACUCCAUACCUUUCGGGUUUGUCUUUUUUCUCUACAAGUUACUGCUAUACUGUUGAUUGAUUCUACCCUUGCGUAAGAAACUUUGAUGAGCACAUAAUUUUCUACUAUGUAAUUUGAGCAGCUUGGUAACCGUAAUUUUCAGUUUCCUUUGACCCUAGGCCCUUCUGCUUUAGAAUUGCUAUUUUUUGUCAGUGUACAUGCUAGAUCAUGUGGUUUAUGAUACUUCUCUGGUCCUUAUAAACAAAGUGACAUGUUUGUGCUGUGGAAUAGAAAGAAUAUUUCAGUGUCUCUCGUUAGGCCUUUUGUCGAAUUGUUAUGUGGUCCGGCGCAGCCUUACGAAACCGGGUUCUAUGCAGUUCAUGUACAGUGCAAAACUCAUUAUUGCAGGUCAGGCCUGUUGCAUGUUUUGGGUCAUUGACAUGCAGGAAAGAAGGAAAAAGGACAUAGAAGUAUCAUUUUGUUAUUGGUCAAGAAAUUUGAAUAAUGUCCAACUGAUUUCAGUUGAAUGACAAAUAGACAAUCCCUUGUUUAAUCAGUAGAUAUACACCAUUAACUCAAAUACCAAAGAAAUACUAGUCCACUUAUAAUCGAUGAUUGCGCAUGAUGCAUCCAUCCAUUCUAUCGGAGAGGCUGUGUUUUUUUUCUUCUUGUGCUAAGGUUGAUAGCAUCACAUAUCUUAUGCUUUUGUUUCUAAAGUAGAGCCUUGAGAUAGAUGUGUCUGCAACUGUCCUCGAAUGGUUGUGCAAUAAUAAUGGUCCUAGCUAAUUACUAGUAUGCACUGCUUAUAAAACAACAUGCUGCUCGUUUCUGUAACAUCCCAAAUUUUCAAUUUGGAAGAUUAUACACUAGAUCAUCAUGCAUAGCAUAUUUUCUUGCAUUUUGGUCGGUCCUAGAAAUUUUACGCAACUCAAGGACCCACGGAGAGAGUUGGAGAUUUCGCUAUUUUUAUAUUUAAGAGUUUUCUCAAAUUUGAAAAGAGGAUCAUUUGAUUUAUUUAUUUCAUCUUCAAUUAUUUUUCCCAAUAUCAAAAUAUGAGAGAGGGGAAUAAUAUGACUUUCCUAAAGUUAGGAAAAAUGAAGAUUUAAUGAAUAAGUCAAAUUUUGGUUUUGCCGGAGUUUAUUCGCAUUUUAUUUGGAUAGGGAAAAAUGCGUGUUUUCGAAAAUUGCAUUUUAGGUCCGGAGUAAAGUUCAUUUUGUUCGACUCAUUUUUAGGAGUCGGAGAAAAUUUACUUUAGAAUUUUCGGAGUUCGUUUAGUUUCUUUUCUGUGUUUUUCUGCGCACGAAACCGUUAAAAAAAAUCUUGCAGCGCCCUGGGCCAAGGCCCAGCCAGCAGCCGGCCGGCCAGGUCAUCGCCCGCGCCGCGCCCGCCAGGCGCCAGGAGGCCACCGCCGCCGCCCCUUUUGGAGUCCUAGUAGGACUUUAGUCCUACUCCGUUUCCUCUUUUUCUUUCCUAUUCCUACUCUAUUUCUUGUCCCCUACCCCAAGAAACCCCCUCCCCUCACUAAUAUAAAUACCCCCACACCCCCCCUCCAAAACAUCAAAUCAAACCCCAAGCCCCACACCACCCCGCACCGCCAAGCCGCGCCCCACGCCGCCGCCCUUGUGCAUCGCCGCNNNNNNNNNNNNNNNNNNNNNNNNNNNNNNNNNNNNNNNNNNNNNNNNNNNNNNNNNNNNNNNNNNNNNNNNNNNNNNNNNNNNNNNNNNNNNNNNNNNNNNNNNNNNNNNNNNNNNNNNNNNNNNNNNNNNNNNNNNNNNNNNNNNNNNNNNNNNNNNNNNNNNNNNNNNNNNNNNNNNNNNNNNNNNNNNNNNNNNNNNNNNNNNNNNNNNNNNNNNNNNNNNNNNNNNNNNNNNNNNNNNNNNNNNNNNNNNNNNNNNNNNNNNNNNNNNNNNNNNNNNNNNNNNNNNNNNNNNNNNNNNNNNNNNNNNNNNNNNNNNNNNNNNNNNNNNNNNNNNNNNNNNNNNNNNNNNNNNNNNNNNNNNNNNNNNNNNNCCGCCCAACGCCGCCGUUCACCGGAGCCCCUCGCCGGAACCUCGCCGAGGUAGCCGCGCCGCGUCUCUCCGAUCCCCUCGAUUCAGUUUUUCUUCUAAACCGUUCCUGUUCUUUCUUAACCAUUCCGGUUUUCUUUCGUUCUUUGUUUCGGUUUUCUUUUCCGAAAACCCUAGAUCGGUUUUCGUUCUUCUUUCGGACCGUUCGUCUCAACGAACGUGAUCACCGAUUAUUCCCGGUUAACGACGCCCGUUCGUUUAACCAUUUGUCUCUUUCUUUUCGUCGGAUUUAUUCCGCGAUCGCGAUCUCUCCGAUCUUCGUUCUAGUCUUUCUUCUCGCUCGUUUAUCGGAAUCAGGUGAUUCAAGCGCCUGGAUUUCGUUUCGAAACCGCCGUUCCGUCUAAUCAACUUAAACAAGUUUUUGCCCCGGUAAAAUUUGACCUAGUUUCAACUUGCUAGAACCGAGUUGUUUUCUUCCGCCGUUUGUUUUCCGUUUCUUUGUUCGGUUCGUUCUUUCUUUGCAACCGUAGUUCUUAAGUUGAACUUCCUGGUUCGUUCAGCUGUUCGAGUUUUACCUGUGCAUUAGAUGAGUACUUAUUGUGUGCUUGUUGUUUGUCUGCGAUAGAAUACCCGGAGUGCGCCGCUUGUUACUUCAAAACCCUAGGUUACGCUGAUCAUCAGCAAGGCACGUAACACUUUGAUCAUACCUUUUCUACAACCCAUGUUUUAUUGCAUUAGAUCAAUCCUCUCACAUUGCAUGAUUAGGAUCCAAUUAAAUUAUGGGAUGGGAAGUAGAUGAGGUAGUACCUAUUACCUGUAUUAUUAUAAAACCUUUGGGAGUUACUUCUACGUUUGCUUAUUAUGCCAUGCUAUGCCAGUAGACGUGGAUUGGGUGAGUGAUAUCCAUGACAGAUGUGAGUUGAUAAUUUUAAUGGUUUAUCUAAGGUGGCAACUUAAACACACAUCUGGGUGGAUUGAGGCACCUGAUGUCUAUCAGGACUUGCCUGUUUUAUUUUGGACCGCCACCCAGGCUCAAAGGGAUCAUAAGAUCAUUCAUGCUAGAAACAUCCAUGUGCAGCCACAUGCUACUAUGGGCUCUGGCAUAGUUGACUAAGUUGUGCGAACUCUUACGGGGUGGACUAACAGAUGUAGGGGUUGUAGGUGGUACGGUCUACCCCACAUGUAAGGUGCUAGCGCUUCUGAAAGACUAUGUCUCGGUCAUCCGUCUUCUCAAACACCCUGUAGUGUGAGAAACCAAACAGAGGCGAUCGAGUCAUGUGGGGAAAAGUGCGCAAACCUCUGCAGAGUGUACAAACUAAUCAUGAUUAGCCGUGUCCCCGGUUAUGGACAACUUGAGUAUCUAGUACUUGAAUAUCAUGUGAAUCUCAUCACGUUACUUCUAAUUAAUGUUGUUGGGUUUUAAUUGUUCACUUAAUUGGGAUUGAGGAUGCUUUCAACCAUUCUCAAUGUUUCACAACCACCAUGAUAGUUAAAUAAAUUUAUUCCUUUGCAGUAGGGAAAAACUGGCUUUACGCAAAACUGUAACCAUAGAGCUUUCCACCAGCCAUAUAUGCAUAUAGUAUAGCUGUUUCAUUCCAUUACUCUCUAUGUGUUACUUUGCCAGUAUAUUCCAUGUGCUGACCCGUUUUCGGGCUGCAACUUUCAUGUUGCAGACUUUUCAGACGACGAUUAAGGAGUUGUUAGGUCAUGGUUCUAUACUCAGUGAUGCCGUUGGAGUUGAUGGACCCAUUUAUCUUCCGAGUCUUCCGCUGUUAUCGACACUAGAUGGCCUUAAGCCAUAUUUAUUGUAAUAAGUUCUCUUUGAGACAACGAUGUAAUAAGUGUGUGAUUGCCACUCUGCUAUAAAUCCUUCGAUGUACUGUGUGGUGUCAGCAUUACUGAUCCAGGGAUGACACCGGAGCACAGUAGACUUGGUCCAUUCGGGUCGGGUCGCCAUAGAGAUGGUAUUAGAGCACACGCUGACUAUAGGACACGACCACUAAGUUAAAGCCAUAGAUCACCAUUCUCUUCUCAUUUUCUAACUCCUCAUCCUUUCUACUCUUUUAGGAUGACGAACCGAAGAUUAAGUACGCUCAACCGGAUGAAGGCACACCAUUUGGAUUUCACUUGAAGAAGUCACCAAGUACCUGGACAUUGGAUUACCAAACUUCACGGGAACCUUCGACGCCACUCUGCCUGAAGAGGAGCGCUGGAAGAUUCAAACUCACGUUCCGGGAAGGACAUUCGCGCCAAUCACAAAGCCCAUAGAUAGUGUUUUCAAUGCACCAACCUGGAGUCUGGGAAGGAGCAUGGCAGCUCAUAUCACCAUAGGACGCAAUGGAGAAGUUUACCAAGAAGACCUCAAGGACACUAUCUACCAGAUUUGUGGACGCCGAGAUGAACAAUGGGAGUUAGUAAGCACCAAGAAGGAUAGAUCCAUUGCAUCUUACAUCCAGGAGUUAAACCAGCACAUUUGACACCACGAGAACCAGAUGUGCAAUGAUAUGAUAGAGUUGAAGAAUGCAAAGGCAAGGAUUAUUGAGCUAGAAGGAGAACUGAAGUCUGCACGCAAGGACUACAUAGACGAGAUCGUAGCUCUAGCUAGACACAAUGGCGAUCUUAAGCAGGAGAUUGAAGAACUCAAGAGGAAGUUAGCAUCCACGGAGGAAGACGAGUACGUCGCAUGUCUGGACAACUACAUCAUCAUCAAUGACACCGAUUCAGAUCCAAGUGAACCCGACUUUGAAGACGAAGCUGGAGCAGAUAUCAUGGAGUCUUCCACCGGUUCAAUUUUCUAGAUGACCACCAGAUAGUAGUAGCAUUUCCCCCCCGCCCCCCCUGUAAACAUUAUAGUUCGAGCACUUUUGCGAUAGUUUUAGACCGACUGUAAGCCCUUGUUUGAUUGAAUGAAGUGAUUUUGUGUGCAUUUGCUCAUGUUCAUUGGGGUAGUGUUUUCCCUUUAGACCUCACUCUAUUCUUAAUUCUCGUCUUUUCUAAACCCUCAGAUGCCUCCGAGACGUGACAAUGGAUUCCCACCGGAACUCACUCAGUUGAUCCAGCAGCAGAAUCAAUUGAUGCAGAUGUUAGCCCAGAACCAAUAGAACAACAACAACCCACCACCACCACCUGUUGACCACUUAGCCCAUUUCCUUAGGCUGAAUCCGCCGGUGUUUUCUAGUAGCACCGAGCCGAUAGUAGGAGACGAUUGGCUCCGCAAGAUAGGAAGGGAGUUGACCACUGCAGGAUGCACGGAUGGUGAGAAAGUGAAGUUUGCCGCUCACCAGCUUGACAGACCCGCGGCAGCAUGGUGGGAGAACUUCACAGCCACUUACCCAGUUGACACUAUCACAUGGGAUCAGUUUCAGCAGGCUUUUCGUACCGCCCAUGUUUCAGCAGGAGCAAUGACCAUGAAGAAGCGUGAGUUUCGUAACUUACGCCAAGGAGGAAGGACAGUUGGCCAGUAUGUUGACGAUUUCAGCAAGUUAGCACGUUAUGCCCCAGAUGAUGUUGCUACGGAUGCAACUAAGCAGGAGAAAUUCCUGGAAGGACUGAAUGAUGAACUAAGCAUGAAGUUGAUGGUAGCGAGUUUCAACAACUACCAGGAGUUGGUAGAUCGUGCCAUCAUGAUUGAAGGGAAGCAACAACAGAUUGAGAACCGUAAGAGGAAGUAUGGACAUGGGAAGUAUAACUCUGGAGCCCAGCAGAAGCCCCGUUUUACCCCAAAACCGGGAUUUCAGUUUCAGCAUACCCAUGGAGGAGGUAGCUCGCACAACCAUAAUGGCCAUAAGAAUGGUAAUGGGAAUGGAGGAAGCAACGGCCAGAAUCGUACCAUCCCAUCGACCCCAACCAAGAGAGAUCUGAGUCAAGUCACCUGUUUCAAGUGUUCCAAGACCGGACAUUAUGCCAAUGAAUGUCCCGAAGGCCAGAAUGGAAAUGGUAAUGGAAGCUCUGGGAAGAAGCCGAACCCUUUCAAUAGAGGACAGGUGAACCACGUUAAUGUGGAGGAGGUUGAAGAUCAGCCUGAUGCGGUAAUCGGUAAGUUUCUGGUUAAGUCAUUUACCGCACUCGUUCUUUUUGAUACUGGUGCAUCGCAUUCAUACAUAUCAAGGGGAUUUGUGGAUAAAUAUAACCUGCCAACCCAAGCCCUUAGGUCACCCAUGUUAGUAAGCUCACCAGGAGCAGAGUUUAUGGCUAGACGAUGGUGUGAUCGGUUACCAUUAAGGAUUGGUAACUAUGUGUUUCCCUCAGACCUAAUAGUAUUGGAAUCUCAAGGAUUGGAUGUGAUAUUAGGCAUGGAUUGGUUAUCAAAGCAUGAAGGGAAUAUUGAGUGUGCUAGUAAGUCAAUUUUUCUUACCACACCCGAAGGAAGAAGGAUCAAGUAUGUAUCCCGGCAUGUGCCAAACAUGACACAAGUAAACUGCCUAACAGGAGUUGUGCAAGAAGAAGUACCAGUGGUAAAGGAUUUUCCUGAUGUAUUUCCUGAGGAAUUACCAGGCAUGCCACCGGAUAGGGACAUUGAGUUUUUGAUUGAGUUAUUGCCAGGUACAGGCCCAAUAUCGAAGCGACCGUACCGGAUGCCAGCAAAGGAUUUGGUGGAAAUUAAGAAUCAGAUUAAGGAGUUAUUGGAUAAAGGUUACAUUCGCCCAAGUUCUUCGCCUUGGGGAUCACCCGUACUUCUAGUGGAAAAGAAGGAUGUAUCAUUAAGGAUGGUUGUAGAUUAUCGGGGAUUGAAUGAAGUAACCAUCAAGAACAAGUACCCACUGCCAAUGAUUAAUGAUCUGUUUGAUGGUUUGCAAGGAGCUAAAGUAUUUUCCAAGAUCGAUUUGCGAUCAGGGUACCAUCAGUUGAAGAUUCGAGAGCAGGACAUACCUAAGGCAGCAUUCACCACAAGAUAUGGACUGUAUGAGUAUACCGUUAUGUCAUUUGGAUUGACUAACGCACCUGCCUAUUUUAUGAACCUGAUGAACAAAGUGUUUAUGGAGUUUUUGGAUAAGUUCGUCGUAGUGUUCAUUGAUGACAUCCUGGUUUAUUCAAAGAAUGAAGAGGAGCAUAAGGAACAUUUGCGUUUGGUUUUGGAGAAACUAAGGGAACAUCAGUUAUACGCCAAAUUCAGCAAAUGUGAGUUUUGGUUGAAGGAAGUUGGAUUCCUCGGACACGUUAUAUCCGGAGAAGGUAUAGCAGUUGACCCCACUAAGGUUGAGACCGUAACCGAAUGGGAAUCGCCAACGACAGUUGGAGAGAUCCGGAGUUUUCUUGGACUCGCAGGAUACUACCGGAGGUUCAUUGAGAACUUUUCAAAGAUUGCAAAGCCUAUGACUGAAUUGUUGAAGAAGGAUACUAAGUUCAAUUGGACUGAGGAAUGUGAGGCUAGUUUCCAGGAAUUGAAGAAACGCUUGGUUACCUCACCAGUAUUGAUUUUACCAGAUCAGACCAAGAAUUAUGAGGUGUAUUGCGAUGCUUCACGUCGAGGACUUGGAGCAGUGCUUAUGCAGGAAGGGAGAGUUGUUUCGUAUGCUUCACGACAACUGAAGCCUCAUGAGUUGAAUUAUGCCAUGCAUGAUUUGGAGUUAGCAGCCGUAGUGCAUGCAUUGAAAACGUGGAGACAUUUCCUCAUUGGAAAUCACUGUGAGGUGUACACGGAUCACAAGAGUUUGAAGUACAUUUUCACGCAGAAGGAGUUGAACCUCAGACAAAGGAGAUGGUUGGAGCUCAUCAAGGAUUAUGACAUGAGAUUGCAUUACCAUCCCGGAAAGGCUAAUGUAGUAGCUGACGCAUUGAGCCGUAAGAGCCAUGUCAAUACCCUAGUGACGGGAGAAGUACCAAAGGAGUUAGCAGAAAACAUUCGUGAGCUAUGUUUGGAAAUAGUUCCGAGAGGCUAUGUAGCAGCAUUGGAGAUUCAGUCAACAUUGAUGGAUAAGAUCAGAGAAGCUCAGAAAUCUGACAAGGAGAUUGCUGCUAUAAAAGAGAAAUUGAGCGAAGGAAAAGCAAAGGGAUUUCGUGAGGACGAGCACGAUACCUUAUGGUUUGAGGACCGUGUUUAUGUGCCAAAUGACCCGGAGAUCAGGAAGUUGAUUUUGCAAGAGGCACAUGAUUCACCGUAUUUGAUACACCCAGGGAAUACCAAGAUGUAUUUGGAUUUGAAGGAAACAUUCUGGUGGACCGGAAUGAAGAAGGAUAUUGCAGCCUAUGUAGCAGUUUGUGACGUAUGUCAGAGAGUAAAGGCAGAUCAUCAGAAGCCAGCAGGAUUGUUACAACCAUUGCCGAUACCCGAAUGGAAGUGGGAAAAGAUAGGCAUGAAUUUUAUCACAGGACUACCCAGGACAAAAUCAAGCUAUGACUCGAUAUGGGUAGUAGUUGAUCGUUUGACGAAGGUAGCACAUUUUAUUCCAGUUAAGAUCACUUACACCAGUGCUAAGUUGGCGAAGAUAUACAUGACUAGGAUCAUUUGUUUGCAUGGAGUUCCGAGGAGUAUCGUAUCAGAUAGAGGAACUCAAUUUACCUCAAAGUUUUGGAAUCAGUUGCAUGAAACUUUAGGAACCAGACUAGAGUUCAGCACAGCUUUUCAUCCGCAGACGAAUGGACAGACCGAGAGAGUCAAUCAGAUUUUGGAAGAUAUGCUGAGAGCUUGUGCACUAGAUUAUGGAUCUAGUUGGGACGAUAACUUGCCGUAUGCGGAGUUUUCUUAUAACAACAGUUACCAAACCAGUUUGAAGAUGGCACCUUUCGAAGCUUUAUACGGAAGGAGGUGUAGGACACCGUUGUCAUGGGACGAAGUUGGAGACCGUCAAUUCUUUGGACCAGAUUUGAUUAAGGAGUCUGAACGGAAAUUUAAGUUGAUUCGCGAGAGGCUCAAGGUAGCCCAGUCCAGGCAGAAGAGCUACGCAGAUUCUAAACGCAAGGAGACAGUCUACGAAACCGGAGACAGAGUUUAUCUUCGAGUAUCCCCACUUCGAGGAGUAAAGCACUUUGGAGUUAAGGGAAAGUUAGCACCGCGUUUUGUUGGACCGUAUAAGAUCUUGCAACGUAUGGGAGAAGUCGCUUAUAAGUUGGAAUUACCAGAGGGACUGUCAGGAGUUCAUGAUGUAUUCCAUGUUUCUCAGCUGAAGAAAUGUCACGCCGAGAUAGCGGAGGUACCGCUAAGAGAUACAGUACCACUCGAAGCGAUUCAGUUGAAGGAUGACUUAACAUAUGAGGAGAAGCCAGUCAAGAUUCUUGAUUAUGCCAGCAGAGUUACCCGCAGCAAGGUUAUCAAGUUUUGCAAAGUUCAGUGGAACCACCACUCAAAGGAUGAAGCCACCUGGGAAAGUGAAGAAGAUUUGCUCAAGGACCACCCUCACCUAUUUUCUAGCCAACCCGAAUCUCGAGGGUGAGAUUCAACUUAAGGGGGGUAGGUUUGUAACAUCCCAAAUUUUCAAUUUGGAAGGUUAUACACUAGAUCAUCAUGCAUAGCAUAUUUUCUUGCAUUUUGGUCGAUCCUAGAAAUUUCACGCAACUCAAGGACCCACGAAGAGAGUUGGAGAUUUCGCUAUUUUCAUAUUUGAGAGUUUUCUCAAAUUUGAAAAGAGGAUCAUUUGAUUUAUUUAUUUCAUCUUCAAUUAUUUUUCCCAAUAUCAAAAUAUGAGAGAGGGGAAUAAUAUGACUUUCCCAAAGUUAGGAAAAAUGAAGAUUUAAUGAAUAAGUCAAAUUUUGGUUUUGCCGGAGUUUAUUCACAUUUUAUUUGGAUAGGGAAAAAUGCGUGUUUUCAAAAAUUGCAUUUUAGGUCUGGAGUAAAGUUCAUUUUGUUCGACUCAUUUUUAGGAGUCGGAGAAAAUUUACUUUAGAAUUUUCGGAGUUCGUUUAGUUUCUUUUCUGUGUUUUUCUGCGCGCGAAACCGUUAAAAAAAAAUCUUGCAGCGCCCUGGGCCAAGGCCCAGCCAGCAGCCGGCCGGCCGGGCCAUCGCCUGCGCCGCGCGCGCCAAGCGCCAGGAGGCCGCCGCCGCCGCCCCUUUUGGAGUCCUAGUAGGACUUUAGUCCUACUCCGUUUCCUCUUUUUCUUUCCAAUUCCUACUCUAUUUCUUGUCCCCUACCCCAAGAAACCCCCUCCCCUCACCAAUAUAAAUACCCCCACAUCCCCUCCUCCAAAACAUCAAAUCAAACCCCAAGCCCCACACCACCCCGCGCUGCCAAGCCGCGCCCCACCCCGCGCCCCUCACCCACGCCGCCGCCCAACGCCGCCGUUCGCCGGAGCCCCUCGCCGGAACCUCGCCGAGGUAGCCGCGCCGCGUCUCUCCUAUCCCCUCGGUUCAGUUUUUCUUCUAAACUGGUCCGGUUCUUUCUUAACCGUUCCGUUUUUCUUUCGUUCUUUGUUUUGGUUUUCUUUUCCGGAAACCCUAGAUCGGUUUUCGUUCUUCUUUCGGACCAUUCGUCUCAAGGAACGUGAUCACCGAUUAUUCCCGGUUAACGACGCCCGUUCGUUUAACCGUUCUUCUCUUUCUUUUCGUCGGAUUUAUUCCGCGAUCGCGAUCUCAGAUCCGAUCUUCGUUCUAGUCUUUCUUCUCGCUCAUUUACCGGAAUCAGGUGAUUCAAGCGCCUGGAGUUUCGUUUCGAAACCGCCGUUCCGUCUAAUCAACUUAAACAAGUUUUUGCCUGGGUAAAAUUUGACCUAGUUUCAACUUGCUAGAACCGAGUUGUUUUCUUCCGCCGUUUGUUUUCCGUUUUUUUGUUCGGUUCGUUCUUUCUUUGCAACCGGAGUUCUUAAGUUGAACUUCCUGGUUCGUUCUCCUGUUCGAGUUUUACCUGUGCAUUAGAUGAGUACUUAUUGUGUGCUUGUUGUUUGUCUGCGAUAGAAUACCCGGAGUGCACCGCUUGUUACUUCGAAACCCUAGGUUACGCGGAUCAUCAGCAAGGCAAGUAACACUUUGAUCAUACCUUUUCUACAACCCAUGUUUUAUUGCAUUAGAUCAAUCCUCUCACAUUGCAUGAUUAGGAUCCAAUUAAAUUGAGGGAUGGGAAGUAGAUGAGGUAGUACCUAUUACCUGUAUUAUUAUAAAACCUUUGGGAGUUACUUCUACGUUUGCUUAUUAUGCCAUGCUAUGCUAGUAGACGUGGAUUGGGUGAGUGAUAUCCAUGACAGAUGUGAGUUGAUAAUUUUAAUGUCUUAUCUAAGGUGGCAACUUAAACACACAUCUGGGUGGAUUGAGGCACCUGAUGCCUCUCAGGACUUGCCUGUUUUAUUUUGGACCGCCACCCAGGCUCAAAGGGAUCAUAAGAUCAUUCAUGCUAGAAACUUCCGUGUGCAGCCACAUGCUACUAUGGGCUUUGGCAUAGUUGACUAAGUUGUGCGAACUCUUACGGGGUGGACUAGCAGAUGUAGGCGUUAUAGGUGGUACGGUCUACCCCACAUGUAAGGUGCUGGCGCUUCUGAAAGACUAUGGCUCGGUCAUCCGUCUUCUCAAACACCCUGUAGUGCGAGAAACCAAACGGAGGCGAUCGAGUCAUGUGGGGAAAAGUGCGCAAACCUCUGCAGAGUGUACAAACUAAUCAUGAUUAGCCGUGUCCCCGGUUAUGGACAACUUGAGUAUCUAGUACUUGAAUAUCAUGUGAAUCUCAUCAUGUUACUUCUAAUUAAUGUUGUUGGGUUUUAAUUGUUCACUUAAUUGGGAUUGAGGAUGCUGUCAACCAUUCUCAAUGUUUCACAACCACCAUGAUAGUUAAAUAAAUUUAUUCCUUUGCAUUAGGGAAAAACUGGCUUUACGCAAAACUGUAACCAUAGAGAUUUCCACCAGCCAUAUAUGCAUAUAGUAUAGCUGUUUCAUUCCAUUACUAUCUAUGUGUUACUUUGCCAGCAUAUUCCAUGUGCUGACCCGUUUUCGGGCUGCAACUUUCAUGUUGCAGACUUUUCAGACAACGAUUAAGGAGUUGUUAGGUCGUGGUUCUAUACUCAGUGAUGCCGUUGGAGUUGAUGGACCCAUUUAUCUUCCGAGUCUUCCGCUGUUAUCGACACUAGAUGGCCUUAAGCCAUAUUUAUUGUAAUAAGUUCUCUUUGAGACAACGAUGUAAUAAGUGUGUGAUUGCCACUCUGCUAUAAAUCCUUCGAUGUACUGUGUGGUGUCAGCAUUACUGAUCCAGGGAUGACACCGGAGCACAGUAGACUUGAUCCAUUCGGGUCGGGUCGCCACAGCUUCACUUUGAGUAUGCUGUUGCUGCUAAAGUAGCAACAACAACAACCAUGCUUUGGUUCCCCAAAAUUCAGAUGGCACUGGCAUCUCUACAUACACACAUAUGAAUAUGCACCUCGGUUUGGUUCAGUUUGCAUGUGUACCGUUGCUUUAACUUUGAUUGAAACUAUCUUGGUGGCACUUGCAUCAAUGCUGUGCUCUGCCCUUGUAUAUGUCCUUGGAGAAUAUGACCAUUGGACUGUAGGGGACGAACAACCUUGUCCUUCUCAAGGAGGAGGAGGAUGGCCACCCCGAGCUCGAGGACGACACGGCAACAGGUAGCACUCACCUCCCUACCAAGGUGAAGGUCCGAUCCGCCUGUUUAGAUGGUCUGCUCUUGUCUUGUGCUCUGAGGGGAGAAGAAAGCCAUUGGCCUCAAUUAUAUUUGCAUGUGAGGGGAGCGAUCCUUUUGGUAGAUGCAGAGUAUAGAUUAGAUAUUCCACAAAACUCACCACACGAGUAUACUACCUAUAUCCACAAAAUUCACCACACGAGCAUACUACCUAUGUCCAAAUGUGGGUGUGAUACUUUCGACAUGAAACAUGAAUAUCAGGUUGGGAGUUUGGAGUUUAAUCAAAUAACGCAACAAGGCGAUCGUCGGUAGGGAUGCACCUUUGAGGCGGCAAGGAGAGCUUCUCAAAGGCAGUACACAUGGCUUAUUACUGCUUGUAUGUGAGUAUGCAGAUGUGGCGUCUAUGGAUAGAGGGUUAGGGGCGCAAUGCAAGCGGCAGUAGGGGAUACACAACCUGAUUUGAUUUGGUCAAUCACGGGAAAUGGGAGAAGGCCUAGGGUGCAAAGUUUGGAUCGGUGGGUUGGUAGGGUUAGGCAUAAUAGAGAUCAAACCUUUUUCAUAGGCGUAUGUAGGUUAUUUCCUUGAAGCAUUUUAUCAAAAUGGUGUAGGUGGGUAAUAUCUCUCAACUUAAAUGUGAAGGGGAGAUAUUAUUUCCUUGUAGAGGCCGAGGAAUACAUGGUGUACCGCUACAUAUGCAACCAUGAUUUUUUGUGGAUGGUUACGAGAGAACCUGAAAGAUACCAUGGACCGAAGCAUGGGCACAUGAAGUUCCAACACCGAAGGGUAAGGAGACGGGCCCGCGUCAUUUACGUCGGGAAUAUGCGACCUUGAUUCUUUGUGGAUGGUGAUGCCAAGACUAUAGGAUAAGGUGGAUCCGGACACAUGAGCAGAUGAAGUGCCUGACACGAAGUAGGUUAAGGAGCUGGACCCAAGUCAUCUACACCGCAGAUUGGUCGAAGGUGUGCCGCGAAUGAUAGAUGUACUUGAGGGGGGAGAAAGCCUGUGAAAAGAACAUACGGUUGAGUCCUGGACAACUCAAGAGUCCUGGGUUAAGUAUCUGUAGCCGUCCAUUGGACAACUCAAGAGUCCUGGGUUACUAUCCCACGUCAUGCUCCAUGUAAUGUGAAAGAAAAUCAUCUCCUUGGCCAAAUCCAUCCCACGUCAUGCUCCAUGUAAUGUGAAAAAAAUCAUCUCCCUGGCCAAAUUCUUCCUCCCCCGAUCUAUCAUGUGAGGCACUUGCGCAUCAUCCACAAAUCCCUAGCGAAAAUCCAUCCCACGUCAUGCUCCAUGUAAUGUGAAAAAAAUCAUCUCCCUGGCCAAAUUCUUCCUCCCCCGAUCUAUCAUGUGAGGCACUUGCGCAUCAUCCACAAAUCCCUAGUGCUGCUCUUCCAGGUCGUCCUCCUCCUUCCUAUCUUUUGCUGUCUUAAUGCAAAACGAUUCCGUGAGAUCCUUGUGAUCCUCUUCAUCUUCACGUAGAAAUCUGAACUGUCCCAACCACGCUGCAGAUCUGUGGUCCGUCCUGGACAAAGAGAAGGCCCUUUCAAUCUCCACAGAUGCCAUGCCCCAACCAAACCGCAACCCAUGAUAAACGAUGUUGUUGAGAAGGAGGCGCUACCUAAGUCUGAUCGGACAUAUGCCAUUGUUGGGGAAGCUACAAGUCGAUGAACUAUGGUAGACUGAUUGCAGGUAAUUAAGGAGCUAGCAACGAUCCAGCAGGUUUUUGUUAUUAGGAAUUUUUAUGUAGUGCGACUUGAUCUCAAAGAACAAGUACACCAUUAGAGUUCGUUUUGGAGGAUUUUGAUGAUGUGCGCUUAGUUACAGACUUAUCUAAAUACGUAUAACUAGGAUGGACAAUAUUUGUAGGAGCCAUACAAUUCAAUUAGGGGAUUCAGUUUGUUAAAGAUGUUUCCACAUAUCCCUAGCGCUGCUCUUCUAGGUUGCCCCCUGCUUCCUAUCUACGGUCUUCAAGUAAAGCGACUUAAUGAGUCUCCUGCUGCAGAAACUUCAACUGCCACAAGAAGGCUGCAGACCUGCGGUUCAUCUUGGUUGAGGUGUCAUACAAUCCAGUUAAGGGAUUCCAUUCAUUGAAGAUGUGGCUGUACUUUCGCACAACAAACUCAAGCACAUCUUCUUAUGUUCUUAGAAACUGGAUGAGUUGUUUUGGACUUUCUUUGGUCUACUCCUCUAUGCUUCUUAUUGGAAAAAACUACAGGUUCGAUUUGGAUCUGUACUUACAAUUUUAUGCUUCUGUAAUUAUCCUGUAGGCCAUGUCCAUCAUAGAAGCACAAAUAAUACUCUAUUCUGGUGAUUUUUAUUUAUCUAUAGUGUCGUCUGCAAGCCUAUUUAUAUGUUAUUUGCAGACAUGGAAUGUUUAUGCGUUCAAGAAGUCAAGAAGAUGACACCUUAGCAGUAUCUAUUUGAAGAAAGAUGGGAGAUCUAAAAAGAUGCUCAAGUUAACAUCAUGGUCCGUUCACCUCCUCAACACUGUUAAGAAGUAGCUCUGUGUGGAAAAUAAAAAUGCCAUGUUUUUUCAUCUUCAUGUCUUCUUAUUUCUGUCUAUAUUAUGCAGCAAGUGCUAACUGUUACUGUUACUUCCGUCUCUAACAAACCAAAUCAGUGGUUGGUACUUUGUUUCUCAAGUAAAAAAAAA